CCUCCCUCUUCCUCGCCGCCCGACGCUGUGAUUCCUCCCUCUUCCUCGCCGCCCGACGCCGUGAUUCCUCCCGCCUCCCGCUGUCGACGCCGGCAUCGACGCCAAGAUCCGUGAUUCCUCCCUCUUCCUCGCCGCCCGACGCCGUGAUUCCUCCCUCUUCCUCGCCGCCCGACGCCGUGAUUCCUCCCACCUCCCGCUGUCGAGCCGACGCCGACGCCGAGAUAAGAAAUUGGAAUAAACACAGAGUUAUCUGAAAAUGGACUGAACUUGUUUCCAAUUUACUGUUCGUAUAGACAUAGGAGGUCACUUUCGUCUUGUUUCAUUCAGGAAUACAGCUGGUCAUAAGAUAAGGGUUGACGAGGUUUUUCUCUUGGAGAAAGUGUUAGCAAAGCCACAAGCGAGAUUUCCUUUUCUUGGAGGGUGAAAUGAAGAGCCCCUUGCCUACUUCAGUAGGGAGCCUUGAGAAGAACUAUUACAGUAUUACUGAAAGUGACCACCAUUUAUAAGUUCAUACUGAAAAUUUCUGAAUCAAAUCCAGGAGAUGUGGUCACAUUCUUAUGGCAGAAAAUGCGCUGUUGUUACCGCAAAUCAGAUUUGAAGAUUGGACUAAAAUACUACAUAUGCAUGGAAAGCUGGACAAGCUCUCC
Long non-coding RNA from Asparagus officinalis (garden asparagus), 647 nucleotides. RefSeq lists it as uncharacterized. Lineage: Eukaryota; Viridiplantae; Streptophyta; Magnoliopsida; Asparagales; Asparagaceae. The transcript is spliced from 4 exons. The record is from RefSeq and is a predicted model, not a curated record.